Capra hircus (goat) is the source of this 107-nucleotide small nuclear RNA. The record is from Ensembl. Lineage: Eukaryota; Metazoa; Chordata; Mammalia; Artiodactyla; Bovidae.
AUGCUCGCUUCGACAGCACGUAUACUAACAUUGGAACAAUACAGAGAAGAUUAGCAUGCCCCUUGUGCAAGGAGGACACACCAAUUUGUGAAGCAUUCCAUAUUUUU